GACGAACGCUGGCGGCGUGCUUAACACAUGCAAGUCGAACGGAAAGGCCCUGCUUUUGUGGGGUGCUCGAGUGGCGAACGGGUGAGUAACACGUGAGUAACCUGCCCUUGACUUUGGGAUAACUUCAGGAAACUGGGGCUAAUACCGGAUAGGAGCUCCUGCUGCAUGGUGGGGGUUGGAAAGUUUCGGCGGUUGGGGAUGGACUCGCGGCUUAUCAGCUUGUUGGUGGGGUAGUGGCUUACCAAGGCUUUGACGGGUAGCCGGCCUGAGAGGGUGACCGGCCACAUGGGACUGAGAUACGGCCCAGACUCCUACGGGAGGCAGCAGUGGGGAAUAUUGCACAAUGGGCGGAAGCCUGUGGCAGCAACGCCGCGUGCGGGAGGACGGCCUUCGGGUUGUAAACCGCUUUCGCCUGUGACGAAGCGUGAGUGACGGUAAUGGGUAAAGAAGCACCGGCUAACUACGU
RNAcentral lists this ribosomal RNA (466 nucleotides) under uncultured bacterium. RNAcentral describes it as "partial 16S ribosomal RNA". It matches the Rfam family "Bacterial small subunit ribosomal RNA", at positions 28 to 506 of the family's 1533-position model. The record is from RNAcentral.